UACGGAGGGUGCAAGCGUUGUCCGGAAUUAUUGGGCGUAAAGGGUUCGUAGGCGGUUUGUCGCGUCCGUUGUGAAAGCUUGGGGCUCAACCCCAAGUCUGCAGUGGAUACGGGCAGACUAGAGUCAGGUAGGGGAGAGCGGAAUUCCUGGUGUAGCGGUGAAAUGCGCAGAUAUCAGGAGGAACACCGGUGGCGAAGGCGGUUCUCUGGGCCUGUACUGACGCUGAGGAACGAAAGCGUGGGGAGCAAACGGG
RNAcentral lists this ribosomal RNA (253 nucleotides) under uncultured bacterium. RNAcentral describes it as "partial 16S ribosomal RNA". It matches the Rfam family "Bacterial small subunit ribosomal RNA", at positions 524 to 776 of the family's 1533-position model. The record is from RNAcentral.